This 43-nucleotide ribosomal RNA is filed under the name uncultured fungus. RNAcentral's name for it is "partial 28S ribosomal RNA". Lineage: Eukaryota; Fungi. The record is from RNAcentral.
UGACCUCGAAUCAGGUGGGACUACCCGCUGAACUUAAGCAUAU